This 538-nucleotide ribosomal RNA is filed under the name Bifidobacterium pseudocatenulatum. RNAcentral's name for it is "bacterial SSU rRNA". It matches the Rfam family "Bacterial small subunit ribosomal RNA", at positions 162 to 711 of the family's 1533-position model. The record is from RNAcentral. Lineage: Bacteria; Bacillati; Actinomycetota; Actinomycetes; Bifidobacteriales; Bifidobacteriaceae.
GGUAAUGCCGGAUGCUCCGACUCCUCGCAUGGGGUGUCGGGAAAGAUUUCAUCGGUAUGGGAUGGGGUCGCGUCCUAUCAGGUAGUCGGCGGGGUAACGGCCCACCGAGCCUACGACGGGUAGCCGGCCUGAGAGGGCGACCGGCCACAUUGGGACUGAGAUACGGCCCAGACUCCUACGGGAGGCAGCAGUGGGGAAUAUUGCACAAUGGGCGCAAGCCUGAUGCAGCGACGCCGCGUGCGGGAUGACGGCCUUCGGGUUGUAAACCGCUUUUGAUCGGGAGCAAGCCUUCGGGUGAGUGUACCUUUCGAAUAAGCACCGGCUAACUACGUGCCAGCAGCCGCGGUAAUACGUAGGGUGCAAGCGUUAUCCGGAAUUAUUGGGCGUAAAGGGCUCGUAGGCGGUUCGUCGCGUCCGGUGUGAAAGUCCAUCGCUUAACGGUGGAUCUGCGCCGGGUACGGGCGGGCUGGAGUGCGGUAGGGGAGACUGGAAUUCCCGGUGUAACGGUGGAAUGUGUAGAUAUCGGAAAAGAACACCA